GAUGAACGCUGGCGGCGUGCCCAAUACAUGCAAGUCGAGCGAAUGGAUUAAGAGCUUGCUCUUAUGAAGUUAGCGGCGGACGGGUGAGUAACACGUGGGUAACCUGCCCAUAAGACUGGGAUAACUCCGGGAAACCGGGGCUAAUACCGGAUAACAUUUUGAACCGCAUGGUUCGAAAUUGAAAGGCGGCUUCGGCUGUCACUUAUGGAUGGACCCGCGUCGCAUUAGCUAGUUGGUGAGGUAACGGCUCACCAAGGCAACGAUGCGUAGCCGACCUGAGAGGGUGAUCGGCCACACUGGGACUGAGACACGGCCCAGACUCCUACGGAAGGCAGCAGUAGGGAAUCUUCCGCAAUGGACGAAAGUCUGACGGAGCAACGCCGCGUGAGUGAUGAAGGCUUUCGGGUCGUAAAACUCUGUUGUUAGGGAAGAACAAGUGCUAGUUGAAUAAGCUGGCGCCUUGACGGUACCUAACCAGAAAGCCACGGCUAACUACGUGCCAGCAGCCGCGGUAA
This 515-nucleotide ribosomal RNA is filed under the name uncultured bacterium. Its description in RNAcentral is "partial 16S ribosomal RNA". It matches the Rfam family "Bacterial small subunit ribosomal RNA", at positions 28 to 523 of the family's 1533-position model. The record is from RNAcentral.